UGUGGGAGCGGGCUUGCCCGCGAUGAGGCCAUUGGCUUCAAUUGAUGUUGCCUGACAGUACGCCAUCGCGGGCAAGCCCGCUCCCACA
Molecule: unclassified non-coding RNA, 88 nt
Filed under: Pseudomonas arsenicoxydans
Lineage: Bacteria; Pseudomonadati; Pseudomonadota; Gammaproteobacteria; Pseudomonadales; Pseudomonadaceae
Source: RNAcentral